Nymphaea colorata (pocket water lily) is the source of this 552-nucleotide long non-coding RNA. RefSeq lists it as uncharacterized. NCBI's taxonomy places the organism in Eukaryota, Viridiplantae, Streptophyta, Magnoliopsida, Nymphaeales, Nymphaeaceae. The record is from RefSeq and is a predicted model, not a curated record. The transcript has 3 exons.
GGUUGAGGAUGAAUCAAGUGAAUAUAUAUCAUUAGAAUGAUUCAAGCUGCCUCUUGAUGGAAAACUUCUUGAUGGUGGAGUUAAGCUAUUAAAGAAAGUUCGCAGUGGGGUACGGAGUUUCUCUCGUUUCUUAAGGGCUGAACAAACAUGUUAAUAGCAGGAAGAUUAUGUCAUGGAAGAUUUUGUGCUGCCUUUGUAUCAGCCGACUAGCCAUUGGCUAGUUCCAACAACGAGAUGCUUUCAUCUUACUUAAUGUUUGUAAGUUCUAUGGCAUGGGUGCCUUUGCUCGUGCCCUUCUUCAAUGUAAUUCUGUUUCCUUGAAGUGUGAGAAUUCUAGUUUUGGAUUGGUUGUCCAAAAUUACUGUUUUGCACUUGUUAAGGCAGUCGGCCUGUUGAUUUUAUGAUCUGUUGGGCCUGAUUUACAGGGUUUGUAAUGUACCCCAACUAGCAUUUAUCACGAUGCUCCAUGAAAUGAAUGUUUCAGCUAUGUAGUAACUGGUAACAGCACUUGGAUGUUUUAGGCGUUUCAUGUUAUUGUUCCAUUUUUGUCUC